Molecule: ribosomal RNA, 369 nt
Filed under: uncultured organism
Description: bacterial SSU rRNA
Rfam family: Bacterial small subunit ribosomal RNA
Source: RNAcentral
CGUAGGGUGCAGGCGUUAAUCGGAAUUACUGGGCGUAAAGCGUGCGCAGGCGGUUUGCUAAGACAGGUGUGAAAUCCCCGGGCUUAACCUGGGAACUGCGCUUGUUACUGGCAGGCUUGAGUGUGGCAGAGGGGGUGGAAUUCCACGUGUAGCAGUGAAAUGCGUAGAGAUGUGGAGGAACACCGAUGGCGAAGGCAGCCCCCUGGGCUAACACUGACGCUCAUGCACGAAAGCGUGGGGAGCAAACAGGAUUAGAUACCCUGGUAGUCCACGCCCUAAACUAUGUCAACUGGUUGUCGGGGAAGCAAUUCCUUGGUAACGAAGCUAACGCGUGAAGUUGACCGCCUGGGGAGUACGGCCGCAAGGUUA